Molecule: ribosomal RNA, 253 nt
Filed under: uncultured bacterium
Lineage: Bacteria
Description: partial 16S ribosomal RNA
Rfam family: Bacterial small subunit ribosomal RNA
Source: RNAcentral
GACAGAGGCCUCGAGCGUUAGGCGGAAUCACUGGGCUUAAAGCGUGUGUAGGCGGACGUCUAAGUACCUUGUGAAAUCCCACGGCUCACCCGUGGAACCGCUGGGUAUACUGGAUAUCUUGGGCCAUUCAGGGGCAACUGGAACAAGCGGUGGAGCGGUGAAAUGCGUAGAUAUCGCUUGGAACGCCGACGGUGAAAACAGGUUGCUGGGAAUGCGCCGACGCUGAGACACGAAAGCCAGGGGAGCAAACGGG